GAAAAUCACCGUAAAAGUCACCCUAAAAAAUCUGAAAAUCUACCCAAAUUUUCAGAUUUUUGGGUGACUUUUACGGUAAUUUUC
Molecule: microRNA precursor, 84 nt
Filed under: Olea europaea subsp. europaea
Lineage: Eukaryota; Viridiplantae; Streptophyta; Magnoliopsida; Lamiales; Oleaceae
Source: RNAcentral